Molecule: transfer RNA, 68 nt
Organism: Cavia porcellus (domestic guinea pig)
Lineage: Eukaryota; Metazoa; Chordata; Mammalia; Rodentia; Caviidae
Rfam family: tRNA
About the family: Transfer RNA (tRNA) molecules are approximately 80 nucleotides in length. Their secondary structure includes four short double-helical elements and three loops (D, anti-codon, and T loops).
Source: Rfam
GGGGAUUUAGCUCAGUGGCAUAAGCACCUGCCUUGCAAGCAGGCAGGCGGUCGUGAGUUCGAUCCCCG